This 448-nucleotide ribosomal RNA is filed under the name uncultured bacterium. RNAcentral's name for it is "bacterial SSU rRNA". It matches the Rfam family "Bacterial small subunit ribosomal RNA", at positions 29 to 524 of the family's 1533-position model. The record is from RNAcentral.
AGCGAACGCUGGCGGCAGGCCUAACACAUGCAAGUCGAGCGCCCCGCAAGGGGAGCGGCAGACGGGAGAGUAACACGUGGGAACGUACCCUUCAGUACGGAACAACCAAGGGAAACUUUGGCUAAUACCGUAUACGUCCGUAAGGAGAAAGAUUUAUCGCUGAAGGAUCGGCCCGCGUCUGAUUAGCUAGUUGGUGAGGUAACGGCUCACCAAGGCGACGAUCAGUAGCUGGUCUGAGAGGAUGAUCAGCCUCACUGGGACUGAGACACGGCCCAGACUCCUACGGGAGGCAGCAGUGGGGAAUAUUGGACAAUGGGCGCAAGCCUGAUCCAGCCAUGCCGCGUGGGUGAUGAAGGCCCUAGGGUUGUAAAGCCCUUUCGGCGGGGAAGAUAAUGACGGUACCCGCAGAAGAAGCCCCGGCUAACUUCGUGCCAGCAGCCGCGGUAAU